CUGGACUGACACUGACACUGAGGUGCGAAAGCGUGGGUAGCAAACAGGAUUAGAUACCCUGGUAGUCCACGCCGUAAACGAUGUCGACUAGCCGUUGGGUCCCUUGAGGACUUUGUGGCGCAGUUAACGCGAUAAGUCGACCGCCUGGGGAGUACGGCCGCAAGGUUAAAACUCAAAUGAAUUGACGGGGGCCCGCACAAGCGGUGGAGCAUGUGGUUUAAUUCGAUGCAACGCGAAGAACCUUACCUACCCUUGACAUCGUGCGAACUUGGUAGAGAUACCUUGGUGCCUUCGGGAGCGCACAGACAGGUGCUGCAUGGCUGUCGUCAGCUCGUGUUGUGAAAUGUUGGGUUAAGUCCCGUAACGAGCGCAACCCUUGUCCCUAUUUGCCAGCGAUUCGGUCGGGAACUCUAGGGAGACUGCCGGUGACAAACCGGAGGAAGGUGGGGACGACGUCAAGUCAUCAUGGCCCUUACGGGUAGGGCUACACACGUGCUACAAUGGCCGGUACAAAGGGUUGCGAAGCCGCGAGGUGGAGCCAAUCCCGAAAAGCCGGUCUCAGUCCGGAUCGGAGUCUGCAACUCGACUCCGUGAAGUCGGAAUCGCUAGUAAUCGUGAAUCAGAAUGUCACGGUGAAUACGUUCCCGGGCCUUGUACACACCGCCCGUCACACCAUGGGAGUGGACUGCACCAGAAGUGGUUAGCUUAAC
RNAcentral lists this ribosomal RNA (710 nucleotides) under Halomonas sediminicola. RNAcentral describes it as "bacterial SSU rRNA". It matches the Rfam family "Bacterial small subunit ribosomal RNA", at positions 729 to 1439 of the family's 1533-position model. Lineage: Bacteria; Pseudomonadati; Pseudomonadota; Gammaproteobacteria; Oceanospirillales; Halomonadaceae. The record is from RNAcentral.